Molecule: long non-coding RNA, 512 nt
Filed under: Phoenix dactylifera (date palm)
Lineage: Eukaryota; Viridiplantae; Streptophyta; Magnoliopsida; Arecales; Arecaceae
Description: long non-coding RNA (PDAC_LNC012679)
Source: RNAcentral
AGAAUCUAUUCAAGGGAUAUUCGGAGAUUAGCUGAAUCCUACUCAAGAACAAAUUGACAGAUUUUCCCUCUAAAAACCAAAAUUUAAAAGUCAAAAAUUCUUAUGAAUCAAAACAAAGUAGAUUGCAUAUGUUGAGGGGGAGAAUCUGAAUUUUAAGCAAGCUAAAUCAUUAAAGAUAUAUAAGCCAAACAAUUGAUUGCAUGAUAUGAAGGCUUAUAUAAUUCCAAAUGAAAGGGGGAGCUUUAACUCCAAAAUUUAUUGUUUCACACCUUUCAAGCUUGGAUAUAUUAAAUUAACAGACAUAUGAAUUCAUUUAUGGAUUUUAUUUCCUUAUUUAUUGAGCAAUUCACUUUACAUAUACUCAAAGUUUUGUCAUCAUCAAAAAGGGGGAGAUUGUGGAGUGAUUGAUUAAAAUCCUAUUUGAUUUUGAUGAGCUCAAAGCAUUAGAGUAUAUAUGUUGUUUACUAAUGAAUUCAAUUGAGUGUUUCAGUGAAAAUCUUGUCUAAGUGUCU